Long non-coding RNA from Acinonyx jubatus (cheetah), 4511 nucleotides. RefSeq lists it as uncharacterized. Lineage: Eukaryota; Metazoa; Chordata; Mammalia; Carnivora; Felidae. The transcript has 11 exons. The record is from RefSeq and is a predicted model, not a curated record.
AAGAUGAGAUGUACUACCUUACCUACUGCUUAAGGUUUUAGUAGAAUUCCAAAUAAAACACGUAAAGUGCAGAUUCUGGGUUUCUAGAUUUAUUAGUGUGUUCUACCCUAGAACUAACUGGAACCAACUUUGCAGACAAUGGUAAUAUUCUAUGAACGCUUAUUUCCACUGUCAAUAUUAUCAUGUUUCACUAUUAAUAUGGGUGGGCGAUUAUUUAGUGAGACAGUCUAACAUACAUGGGCCAAAAGGAAAUCUCUAGAUGAUAAGAAAAUUAAGUUAGUGUCAUUUGCGGUCAACUAGGAACACAGUAUGUGGAAAUUUUAAGAAGUCACAAUAAAAACAAGUAUUUGUAUGAUAUUAAAGUGUAUGCCACGCUUUCAAAUACAUUAUCUUAUUAAAUGAGCACACCCACAUGUUUUUACCUGUAGGACCCUUAAGUUAACACAUUUCCAAUUAUACCUCCAAAUCACAGAAAGCAAGUGAAAUCAUGGGCCAAUUAUGAAGUAAGUGCCAUUUUUCCCAUAAAAAAAAAAUGUCCGUCAAGAAUAAACCACUUUAUAGCCCCAUGCCUUUUGAGUUAAACUUUACUAACUAGUCAUCAUACCAGGCAAUUGAUAUGUUUUGUUUGCAUGAAAGGUUAAAUUUCCAAUAAUUACUUGACCUAUUCUCAAAGAAUUCCUUAUAAAAUCCAUGCUUCUAGUAUUUCUCUGGGGAUAUGAGAAUGUGGAUGGUAGGCAGGAAAGUUGUGCUGGUGUUCUCUUUCCUUCUGCAUGGAAUGACCGCUCAAUAUUGUAUGUAAGAACAACGCUGCGCUGACUCCAGAUGGGACCUCCAGGUAAGAGAGGGGGGCGUGUAAUAAAGAAAAGGUCUGCCUAUUGCAAAUGGUAGCAGGGAAGCUAAAUACGAGGGUGUUUUCUUGGUGGUGAGGGGUGGUUCCCUAAGGUACAAGGAUUACGAAAGGCCCUUAAUUGAAUGUACUGCCCACUCUCAAAGUCACGCAGUGCCUCCCAAAGGGCAGACUGCCCGUUAACCUGACUUUUGAAUAUCAAUCGGGGCUCUGGGCUAAAUCUCCACUCUAGUUCACUCAUCUUAAAAAUAGACCCUGUAAGUGGCUUAGGUUAGAAAUAGAGUCACAGAGAUCAUUAGAUCGUUGGGUGAGUCAACUCCUCCACUAGAAGCACUGUUGGGAAGUUAAAACGAAAUCAUGAGCUAGUUAUCACAAGCUUUUCCACCGAACGUUUCAUCUUGACGGAGAAGGGCAAGAGCGCUCAGCGGGACUGGCUGUGCCCGCAUUCUCCCGGCAGCGCCAACUCUAGGGCGUCAGGGCAGCGGCCGCUGCGUCCGGGGCGCUGCAAGGCACGAGUGCAGGCGCGGCGCCGGCGCCCGCCUCUCAGCCCUGCCCCCGCACCGCCGUAAUUGCGGGUUUUAAUUAAGGAGGAGGAGUCCGGUUGCCGACUGAGCCGUAAAAGUGAUUUUUUUUUUUUUUCCCAAGAGGAGACCGGCUUCCUGCAUUAAAGGCUUUCCCCUGCCUCCCCACUCAUUCUUACACCCCCGCGGCCGCUCUCGCGGAGGAGGAGUGAAUACCGGUGCGUACCUCGCUUCCUGUUUGAUUAACUCACGCGCUCGCCUCACGCUUUCUCGGAGCAGCAGGGGAGCGACCGCAGCUCCGCCCCAAGAGGGGGCCCGCGAAACCCAGCCGGGCUAGCCCAAGCGCGGCGCCCUUACCUGCGCCCCCUGCCUCUCGUCGGCGUCCUGUGCGGUGCCCACGGGCCGGCGGCGCCCAGGAAAGGGCCAAGGAGGAAUGCUGCCCGGGAAAUGUGGAGUGUUCCAGGUCGGUCAUUUCCCUCGGAGGGACUCGGGGUGCGCUCCCCCAUUCUGGCGGCGGUUUAGGGAGGCCCGGAGAGGGCGCCUGGGCAGCACGGGGCGCCUCUUCUCGCCUCACGCGUCCUCCCCCCUCCUGCUCGUCAGCGAGCCGAGGGCCUGAACCCUCAGAGUCCUGGCGAGGCUUGGCGGCUUUGUCUGGGCUCACGCGUCUGUUCGGAGCCCACCAGCCCGGAAGGGAACAAAGAGCCUCGACCCCCCCACGCCCAGCCUCCGCCUCUCCACCUCUCCCCCGCGCGCCGUUUAUCACCUUCCCUAAGACCCCUUUGUCUGCCUGGGAAGCACAAGUCUGCCCGAGAUGCCCACGUCCCCGCCCAAAGUCCUGCUUUCCUGACAAUUGAGCUAGGCGGCGUUUUCAACCCACCCACUCCCUAUGUAAACGACCUCAUAUAGUUCGGCUUUUCUUCUCUUCCCCAGAAUAGACCUUUUACAGAUUUGUGAUGCAUAACGACCAUCCAGCCCGUCAGCUUUCUCAUUCCCUUCCAGUCCCUUUCGACUGUACUUCUGCUAUCUUAGUUUCCGAUCGAACAGAAGAUUCUUUCUGCAAUGAAAAAAUAAAUUUGUGAUGAAUUGGCAACACAAAGAAUUUUGAGCUUGGAAUAUUCCUUGCUGUCCCUAACUCUGAUGAUAAAGUUGCCUUCUAACUCCUGAUACAGAUGUCAGUGGCUGUGGUCAACUUCUAUGGCUCUGCUACAUGUCUUCUCAUUCCAGAUUCCAGCCUCAAAAAGUGUGCCUUAUUUGGGACAUCCAAAAAAGAAGAACUCUUGAUGCCUCCUAAAGUCUCUAAAUGUCCAGAAGUGUUCCUCAGAAAGAAUGUGCAUAGGUAACGAGUUUCUCAAUAAAAAGCUUCGUCAUAAAAACUACAUAGAGGACUUAUGCUUCCAGAUUGAUUGCACCGUGGGAAGAUUCAGAGCUCCCUUCUUCUGUAGACACUCAGCUGAACGAGAAAACACAAACAUCAAAAACAGAGAGGGGCAAGUGAGACGAUGGAGAGGGAAGAAAAACGAUCAUUUCCAUACUGUACUGUCCUGGGAAACAAAGUGAAGGUCCCUUCUUUCCAUGGAAAGAAUUGCAGGAACAGGAAGGAAAAAUGGGGCGUAUGUGAGUGAGAGAGGAAGGAAGAACAAGGGCGCUGAAAGAGAGACCUCAUCUUUACAGAUAAUGUAUUAACAUAAAAGGAAAUGUCGCCUUCAUUGUCCUGGAUGCUUCAUGAUUUUGUGGAACUAAACCAGCCAAACAUGCAUGGGAUAGUUGGAUUUAGAAGACAGUUAUUUCCUAAUUUGAACAGAGAAGGAUGACCAGGGAAAUGUGCUAUACAGAUAACACCAGAGAAGGCCUCACAAAGAAUAUGGAAGAGUUGAAGCUCUCUGAAAAAUACGAUUUUAGUCCUAUGAGUUACGUACUAUAUUAUCAUCAUUUCAAUUUUAUGGACAAGGAUAUGAAGUCACAGAAAGGUAAAGUGAAUCGCCCCAAGAAUCCCACAGCUGGUGAGUAGUUUUUGCUUCCCUCAUCUGUGCUUGUCUUGCUUUUAAGAGGAUUACAGGAGAUAAUGCUUGUGUGAUGCUUUCCAUAAUUUACCAAAUAUGCACUUGGAAAAAAGUAAUAUUAUUGGUUAAUAUGGAAGUAAAAUCUUCUACAUCAGAUGAGCUUCUAUCACUGUUCAUUAACCAUUUUACUGAAAGAGACCAUUAGCUCUGGGCCCUUUAUUUGCUGAUUUAAUUGUCUUGGACUACCUGUCUAGAAAAACCACAAACCAAACACAUUCACAGAGACAUGUAUCAUUAAGCCUGGCCAAACCUACAUGAUCCAAAGAACUAGGUAACUGCCAAUGGGUACUUUGCCUUGUAUCAGUACUGUUGCUAAUGUAAUUUGAGAACUGCUUAUGAACAAGUAUGCUGAAAGAGCCAAUAAGGAUUUACAAGUAAGCUGUGCUAUUUCUACCUCCUUUCUUCUUUGUAAAUUCUAAAGAACACAUUUUAUUCUUUGGGAAAUGUUUAAGUAAAUCUUAUUAGGAUUAAACCAUGUUGUAAAUUCAGUGGGGGCACCUGGGUGGCUCAAUCUGUUAAGCAUCUCACUAUUUCAGCUCAGGUCAUGAUCUCACUGUUGGUGAGUUCAAAUCCGAAGUCUGGUUUUGUGCUGGCAGUGCAGAGCCUGCUCGGAAUUCUCUCAAUCCCUCUGUCUCUGCCCCUCCCCUGCUCGUGUUUUCUCUCUCUAUGUGUCUCUCUCUGUCUCUGGAUAAAAUAAUUACCACAGAUUCUAAGGUGGAAUUGAAAAACUUUUCAAAUAAUAUUUGCCAUUGUACCUUCCAAUUAAAUAAUGAGUACCUUUGGAAAGUAUUACCCAUCAGAUGAAAACAAGACCCAACCUAAGAUGUAAAAAUAAAUCCGUACUGGGAGCAAAGAUGCAUUUAAAGUAAAUAAAAACACAAUCAGUAAUAUUUGACUACUAAUAGCCCCUGCUUCUUAUAUAUAACUUUUCAUGCUGGUGAGAAAAAGUGUUUUAUUUUCUUUUAAGUUUUAUUUUCUAAACUACUUCAUAAGGACUAGAAAACCCACAAAAAUUUCAAAAGACAUAGAGCAAUAGCUUCUGUCUAGUCCUCAGUCUUCCCUCAGCCUCCUCUGAGCAUGUCU